This 487-nucleotide ribosomal RNA is filed under the name uncultured bacterium. RNAcentral's name for it is "bacterial SSU rRNA". It matches the Rfam family "Bacterial small subunit ribosomal RNA", at positions 28 to 514 of the family's 1533-position model. The record is from RNAcentral.
GAUGAACGCUAGCGGCAGGCUUAACACAUGCAAGUCGAGGGGUAUUGGUUUUUCGGACCAAGAGACCGGCGCACGGGUGCGUAACGCGUAUGCAAUCUACCUUUUGCAGAGGGAUAGCCCCAGAGAAAUUUGGAUUAAUACCUCAUAGUAUAGUACUUUGGCAUCAAGGAACUAUUAAAGUCACAACGGCAAAAGAUGAGCAUGCGUCCCAUUAGCUAGUUGGUAAGGUAACGGCUUACCAAGGCUACGAUGGGUAGGGGUCCUGAGAGGGAGAUCCCCCACACUGGUACUGAGACACGGACCAGACUCCUACGGGAGGCAGCAGUGAGGAAUAUUGGACAAUGGGCGCAAGCCUGAUCCAGCCAUGCCGCGUGCAGGAUGACGGUCCUAUGGAUUGUAAACUGCUUUUAUACAGGAAGAAACACUCCGACGUGUCGGAGCUUGACGGUACUGUAAGAAUAAGGAUCGGCUAACUCCGUGCCAGCAG